RNAcentral lists this ribosomal RNA (1959 nucleotides) under human gut metagenome. RNAcentral describes it as "bacterial LSU rRNA". It matches the Rfam family "Bacterial large subunit ribosomal RNA", at positions 1 to 1987 of the family's 2925-position model. The record is from RNAcentral.
UUAAGCGACUAAGCGUACACGGUGGAUGCCCUGGCAGUCAGAGGCGAUGAAGGACGUGCUAAUCUGCGAUAAGCGUCGGUGAGGUGAUAUGAACCGUUAUAACCGGCGAUUUCCGAAUGGGGAAACCCAGUGUGUUUCGACACACUAUCAUUAACUGAAUCCAUAGGUUAAUGAGGCGAACCGGGGGAACUGAAACAUCUAAGUACCCCGAGGAAAAGAAAUCAACCGAGAUUUCGUUAGUAGCGGCGAGCGAACGCGAAGGAGCCUGUUAGUGAUAAUGGCAGAGACAGAGGAACAAGCUGGGAAGCUUGGCGAUACAGGGUGAUAGCCCCGUACUCGAAGUCCAGGUCAUGGUACUAAGCUAACGAUAAGUAGGGCGGGACACGUGACAUCCUGUCUGAAGAUGGGGGGACCAUCCUCCAAGGCUAAAUACUCCUGACUGACCGAUAGUGAACCAGUACCGUGAGGGAAAGGCGAAAAGAACCCCGGCGAGGGGAGUGAAAAAGAACCUGAAACCGUGUACGUACAAGCAGUGGGAGCCUCUUAAUGGGGUGACUGCGUACCUUUUGUAUAAUGGGUCAGCGACUUAUAUUCUGUAGCAAGGUUAACCGAAUAGGGGAGCCGAAGGGAAACCGAGUCUUAACUGGGCGUUAAGUUGCAGGGUAUAGACCCGAAACCCGGUGAUCUAGCCAUGGGCAGGUUGAAGGUUGGGUAACACUAACUGGAGGACCGAACCGACUAAUGUUGAAAAAUUAGCGGAUGACUUGUGGCUGGGGGUGAAAGGCCAAUCAAACCGGGAGAUAGCUGGUUCUCCCCGAAAUCUAUUUAGGUAGAGCCUUGAGCGGACACCUUCGGGGGUAGAGCACUGUUUCGGCUAGGGGUCCAUCCCGGAUUACCAACCCGAUGCAAACUACGAAUACCGAAGAGUGAUACUCAGGAGACACACGGCGGGUGCUAACGUCCGUCGUGGAGAGGGAAACAACCCAGACCGCCAGCUAAGGUCCCAAAGUCUAUAUUAAGUGGGAAACGAAGUGGGAAGGCUUAGACAGCUAGGAUGUUGGCUUAGAAGCAGCCAUCAUUUAAAGAAAGCGUAAUAGCUCACUAGUCGAGUCGGCCUGCGCGGAAGAUGUAACGGGGCUCAAAUAUAGCACCGAAGCUGCGGCAUCAGUAGCAAUACUGUUGGGUAGGGGAGCGUUCUGUAAGCGGAUGAAGAUGGCUCGAGAGGGCUGUUGGACGUAUCAGAAGUGCGAAUGCUGACAUAAGUAACGAUAAAACGGGUGAAAAACCCGUUCGCCGGAAGACCAAGGGUUCCUGUCCAACGUUAAUCGGGGCAGGGUGAGUCGGCCCCUAAGGCGAGGCUGAAAAGCGUAGUCGAUGGGAAACGGGUUAAUAUUCCCGUACUUGGAUAAACUGCGAUGUGGGGACGGAGCAGGUUAGGUUAUCGCACUGUUGGAUAUGUGCGUUUAAGUUGGUAGGUGUGAAGUUUAGGCAAAUCCGGACUUCUUUAACACCGAGAGAUGAUGACGAGGCUCUACGGAGCUGAAGUAACCGAUACCACACUUCCAGGAAAAGCCACUAAGCUUCAGGUUUAUCUAAACCGUACUGAAAACCGACACAGGUGGUCAGGUAGAGAAUACUCAGGCGCUUGAGAGAACUCGGGUGAAGGAACUAGGCAAAAUAGCACCGUAACUUCGGGAGAAGGUGCGCCGGCGUAGAUUGUAGUCCCUAGCGGGCGAAGGUUGAACCGGUCGAAGAUACCAGCUGGCUGCAACUGUUUAUUAAAAACACAGCACUCUGCAAACACGAAAGUGGACGUAUAGGGUGUGAUGCCUGCCCGGUGCUGGAAGGUUAAUUGAUGGUGUAAUCGAAAGAGAAGCUCCUGAUCGAAGCCCCAGUAAACGGCGGCCGUAACUAUAACGGUCCUAAGGUAGCGAAAUUCCUUGUCGGGUAAGUUCCGAC